CCUACGGGCGACAGCAGUGAGGAAUAUUGGUCAAUGGGCGCUAGCCUGAACCAGCCAUGUAGCGUGAAGGAUGACUGCUCUAUGGGUUGUAAACUGCUUUUAUAUAGGAGUAAAUUUCAGUAUGUAUACUGCUUUGCAUGUACCUUAUGAAUAAGGAUCGGCUAACUCCGUGCCAGCAGCCGCGGUAAUACGGAGGAUCCGAGCGUUAUCCGGAUUUAUUGGGUUUAAAGGGAGCGUAGGCGGGUUGUUAAGUCAGAUGUGAAAGUUUGCGGCUAAACUGUAAAAUUGCAUUUGAUACUGUUAUUCUAGAGUGUAGGAGCGGUAGGCGGAAUUCGUGGUGUAGCGGUGAAAUGCUUAGAUAUCACGAAGAACACCGAUUGCGAAGGCAGCCUGCUGGACUAUAACUGACGCUGAUGCACGAAAGUGUGGGGAGCAAACAGGAUUAGAUACCCUUGUAGUC
RNAcentral lists this ribosomal RNA (460 nucleotides) under uncultured bacterium. RNAcentral's name for it is "partial 16S ribosomal RNA". It matches the Rfam family "Bacterial small subunit ribosomal RNA", at positions 338 to 795 of the family's 1533-position model. The record is from RNAcentral.